This 93-nucleotide transfer RNA is filed under the name Salinispora arenicola. RNAcentral's name for it is "tRNA-Arg". Lineage: Bacteria; Bacillati; Actinomycetota; Actinomycetes; Micromonosporales; Micromonosporaceae. The record is from RNAcentral.
GUCUCGACCUGGUCGGGCCGUCGGGCGCCGCCGGCCCCGAUCCGGUGGGUCACGGCACGACCGUGGCCGGGCUGAUCGCCGGCCGGCGCGACG